GAUGAACGCUGGCGGCGUGCCUAAUACAUGCAAGUCGAGCGAACGGACGAGAAGCUUGCUUCUCUGAUGUUAGCGGCGGACGGGUGAGUAACACGUGGAUAACCUACCUAUAAGACUGGGAUAACUUCGGGAAACCGGAGCUAAUACCGGAUAAUAUUUUGAACCGCAUGGUUCAAAAGUGAAAGACGGUCUUGCUGUCACUUAUAGAUGGAUCCGCGCUGCAUUAGCUAGUUGGUAAGGUAACGGCUUACCAAGGCAACGAUGCAUAGCCGACCUGAGAGGGUGAUCGGCCACACUGGAACUGAGACACGGUCCAGACUCCUACGGGAGGCAGCAGUAGGGAAUCUGCCGCAAUGGGCGAAAGCCUGACGGAGCAACGCCGCGUGAGUGAUGAAGGUCUUCGGAUCGUAAAACUCUGUUAUUAGGGAAGAACAUAUGUGUAAGUAACUGUGCACAUCUUGACGGUACCUAAUCAGAAAGCCACGGCGAACUACGU
RNAcentral lists this ribosomal RNA (496 nucleotides) under uncultured bacterium. Its description in RNAcentral is "partial 16S ribosomal RNA". It matches the Rfam family "Bacterial small subunit ribosomal RNA", at positions 28 to 506 of the family's 1533-position model. The record is from RNAcentral.